Molecule: long non-coding RNA, 410 nt
Filed under: Salmo salar (Atlantic salmon)
Lineage: Eukaryota; Metazoa; Chordata; Actinopteri; Salmoniformes; Salmonidae
Description: lncRNA (ENSSSAG00000121067.1)
Source: RNAcentral
GAUCAGUUGUGGUGGUCGCAGGUUCUGCAAUUAUUGUCGUAGUAGAAGCUGUAGUUUUGAUUGGAGUUGUAGGAGCUUCAGUUGUUGUUGUAGGAGCUGCAGUUGUCGAAUGGGAUGUUGUUUUGGUUGUUAUAGGUGCUAUAGUUGUUGUAGAAGAAGCUUCCGUUGUGUUUGUAGUAAGGGCUGCAGUCAUGGUUGUGGAUGAAGCUUCAGUUCUGGUUGUAGUAGGGAAUGCAGUAGUGGUUGUGGAAGCAGCUACAGUUGUUGAGGUCGGAGCUGUGGUUGUGGUUGUCAUAGGAGUUAAAAUGGUAGUUGUAUCUACAGUUGUGAUUGGCGUUGUAGGAACUACAGUUGUUGUUGUCGGAGCUGCAGUUGUCGAAGGGGAUGUUGUUGUAGAAUAAGCUUCAGUU